RNAcentral lists this unclassified non-coding RNA (481 nucleotides) under Hevea brasiliensis (rubber tree). The record is from RNAcentral. Lineage: Eukaryota; Viridiplantae; Streptophyta; Magnoliopsida; Malpighiales; Euphorbiaceae.
UAUGUUGAAAUAUAUUUGGAACUUGUAUGCUGUGUGUUCAAGCGGAUUUUACAUGCUUUAGGUUUGGGUAAUGUUUGUCCUUCCCGGUUCACUUUCUCUUAGAAUAACAGUGUUUCAAUUUGAUGGUUUUGCUUUCUUUAUUUUUUGCAAGAGGAAACUUGUCUCGUGGUUGUAUGUUGGCCUUCAGCAAUCUAAAGACCAAGAGUCACGGCACUGCCGAGUUGUGUGCCAUGUGUUUAAUGUUCCAUUAGUUCAGUUUAGGGAUUAAAUUAUGUUACAUCUAUAAAGUUCUUGUGUCCGUGAAGGUUUUCCAUGCGUGUGAUUUUGUAUAUUUGUUUGCGUUUUUUUACUUUCUGGUCAUAAUCAUUUUCCUGCAAGCAUCUAUGGUAUCUCCAACUAGAGUAAUGUUUUAAUUAUAUAUUUUGAUUUCUUAACUGGAGUAAAUCUUGACCAAUUUUUCACCCCUCUUUGUUGGAUGUUG